This is a long non-coding RNA of Cataglyphis hispanica, 1800 nucleotides long. RefSeq lists it as uncharacterized. Lineage: Eukaryota; Metazoa; Arthropoda; Insecta; Hymenoptera; Formicidae. The record is from RefSeq and is a predicted model, not a curated record. The transcript has 3 exons.
CGUACUUCGAUUUGAUUUAUAACUCGCAUAUAAUAAUCACAAUUUCGGUAAUAAAAUUACGAGUCGUGAGAGCGAUAUAGCGCGAUUAGUGUCAAAUAUGCUUUUUCGCGUAGGAAAUAUAAUAAUAUUCACGAUUUCGGGAUAUAAACGUUCUCAAGGAAAUCGAUGAGUGAUGUACUUCCUUGAUUCAGAGAUAUAGCGACUAACCGUUAGAUCGGUGAAUACUUACCAAUUAGAUAGACGGACAAUCCUGAAGAGAUUCUAUCAGAGAACCGUCGUGGGAAGGUUCAAAAACAGUGGAUUGACAAGACGCACGAGUUUUCUUGUUUAGUAUACGGACUAACGACUUCUUAUUUAUCAAUCAUUGAUGUACAGGUAAGAACACAUAAACUGGUCGUAGUUGAGAUAAUUAUCAAUCAAAGUUUUCAAAGUUUUGAACUUUUUUAUAUAUAUUCUCAUAAUUUGUUAAAAAAUGGUUCCUUUCUACACCAACUACGUCCAACUGUAAAUUAUAAUAUUAUGUGUAACUUACUAGUUUAUUUUUAUUUUCUGUCUAAACACCGCAGUUUCCUUGUAUUUUUAUUGUAAAGAAUAUUUCAUGAGAACGGGAAUAACUUGUAAUAAUAACAAUUGGCAAAUAACUCUUAAUAAUAAUAAUAAUACAUUAAUUCUUAUAUAUGUAAUAUUGAAAUAUUUCUAUAAUGCACUUCAUAAAAUCAGGCGUUAUUACAAGGCGAUAUUGCAUAAAGUUUUAAUCAGUAAGUUACACGUAAUAUUUAACAUUGUAAUACAAAUUAUUUGUAUAAUGUAAUUACACAUACAUGCAAAACAGUCAAUUUUUUUAUACUGAUUAGAGACUCGACUCGAAAUCAUAAUUCUUAACUAAUAUAACUAUACUAAUCUUACAAAAAAUAUAAAGUUAUUAGUAAUAAUAAUCAAAUUUUACAUUAUUUAAACGAGCAAUAUAUAAACUUUAAUGAGUCUUACAGUUUUUAUCGCAUAAUUAUUUAUAAAAAAUGCAAUUUGUCUUUAAUUAUACAUUUGUUAGUUGAGCGUACGAAAGAAUGAGAUUUAUAUAAUUUAGUGUAUGUAAAGAAAUUGCACACACAAGUAUAAAUAAUUCAGAAUGUACUAGUUAAAGAAUAAUGAUGCAUUUUUUCUGUAUUGCAUAAAUAGAAGAAAUUAUAAUUGUACAUCAAUGUGUAUAUUGCAACAGGUAGGUUCUCUCUUUCCUCUUACAAUUAAUAUAAUAAUAUAUAAUUUAUAUGUAGCGUAUACACUCAGUAAAAAUUGAAUUUUAUUAUAAAGAGAUAAAUAUUUUUAUUAGAGUUUCUUAUUUUUCUAUCAAAUUUAAAAUCAUAUCAUGCUAAGCCCAAAUAUUAUUUUCGAUAGAAAAAGAAAUUUAAAUAUCUGCGUAUACUUAAGGAUAUUUUGUGUGUUUAAUUUUUUCUAUUUUAACUGAAAUUUUUAUACUAUUUUUUAAGUAAACUGUGAAUUGUUGAUACUAUCAUCCGUGUAAAUAGCUAAUUAAAAAAUGAUAGAUUUUUAUAAUUAUCAUAAAAAUAAUUAUAAUAGAUUUAUAAUUAUCGUGUUAUACGCACAUAUAAAUCGUAUCUCGUUUAUAUUCUAUUGAAAAACUAUAAUAUUCGAAAUCUCUCAAACGUAAUUCUAGAGCAUAUGUUUGGCACGAUGAAGAGGUAUUUGCAAUCGUUUUCUAACAUCUAUUUUCAUUGCAUCAAUCACUUUGGCCCAUUGAAAUACAAGACUCAUAGAAAAGCGCAAUACAAUCAAAUUUUUAUU